RNAcentral lists this non-coding RNA (21 nucleotides) under Arabidopsis thaliana (thale cress). The record is from RNAcentral. Lineage: Eukaryota; Viridiplantae; Streptophyta; Magnoliopsida; Brassicales; Brassicaceae.
UUGAUAUGUGUCAUUCUCUCA